This 687-nucleotide ribosomal RNA is filed under the name uncultured compost bacterium. Its description in RNAcentral is "bacterial SSU rRNA". It matches the Rfam family "Bacterial small subunit ribosomal RNA", at positions 797 to 1493 of the family's 1533-position model. The record is from RNAcentral.
GGUCCCUACGAGUCACUAGCUGUUGGGGCCUUCGGGCCUUAGUAGCGCAGCUAACGCGUGAAGUUGACCGCCUGGGGAGUACGGUCGCAAGAUUAAAACUCAAAGGAAUUGACGGGGACCCGCACAAGCGGUGGAUGAUGUGGAUUAAUUCGAUGCAACGCGAAAAACCUUACCUACCCUUGACAUGUCUGGAAUCCUUUAGAGAUAGAGGAGUGCUCGCAAGAGAACCGGAACACAGGUGCUGCAUGGCUGUCGUCAGCUCGUGUCGUGAGAUGUUGGGUUAAGUCCCGCAACGAGCGCAACCCUUGUCAUUAGUUGCUACGAAAGGGCACUCUAAUGAGACUGCCGGUGACAAACCGGAGGAAGGUGGGGAUGACGUCAAGUCCUCAUGGCCCUUAUGGGUAGGGCUUCACACGUCAUACAAUGGUCGGGACAGAGGGUCGCCAACCCGCGAGGGGGAGCCAAUCCCAGAAACCCGAUCGUAGUCCGGAUUGCACUCUGCAACUCGACUGCGUGAAGUCGGAAUCGCUAGUAAUCGUGGAUCAGAAUGCCGCGGUGAAUACGUUCCCGGGCCUUGUACACACCGCCCGUCACACCAUGGGAGUGGGUUGCACCAGAAGUAGCUAGUCUAACCUUUGGGAGGACGGUUACCACGGUGUGAUUCAUGACUGGGGUGAAGUCGUAACA